RNAcentral lists this ribosomal RNA (537 nucleotides) under uncultured bacterium. RNAcentral's name for it is "partial 16S ribosomal RNA". It matches the Rfam family "Bacterial small subunit ribosomal RNA", at positions 355 to 907 of the family's 1533-position model. The record is from RNAcentral.
UGGGGAAUAUUGCACAAUGGGCGAAAGCCUGAUGCAGCAACGCCGCGUGAGUGAUGAAGGCCUUCGGGUUGUAAAGCUCUGUCUUUUGGGACGAUAAUGACGGUACCAAAGGAGGAAGCCACGGCUAACUACGUGCCAGCAGCCGCGGUAAUACGUAGGUGGCAAGCGUUGUCCGGAUUUACUGGGCGUAAAGGAUGCGUAGACGGAUUUUUAAGUGAGAUGUGAAAUACCCGGGCUUAACUUGGGUGCUGCAUUUCAAACUGGGAAUCUAGAGUGCGGGAGAGGAGAAUGGAAUUCCUAGUGUAGCGGUGAAAUGCGUAGAGAUUAGGAAGAACACCAGUGGCGAAGGCGAUUCUCUGGACCGUAACUGACGCUGAGGCAUGAAAGCGUGGGUAGCAAACAGGAUUAGAUACCCCCGGUAGUCCACGCCGUAAACGAUGAGUACUAGGUGUAGGAGGUAUCGACCCCUUCUGUGCCGCAGUUAACACAAUAAGUACUCCGCCUGGGAAGUACGAUCGCAAGAUUAAAACUUAAAGG